RNAcentral lists this ribosomal RNA (305 nucleotides) under uncultured bacterium. RNAcentral describes it as "bacterial SSU rRNA". It matches the Rfam family "Bacterial small subunit ribosomal RNA", at positions 333 to 638 of the family's 1533-position model. The record is from RNAcentral.
AGAGCCUACGGGACGCAGCAGUGAGGAAUAUUGGUCAAUGGUCGGGAGACUGAACCAGCCAAGCCGCGUGAGGGAGGAAGGUACAGAGUAUCGUAAACCUCUUUUGUCAGGGAACAAAGGCGGGGACGUGUCCCCGGAUGAGUGUACCUGAAGAAAAGCAUCGGCUAACCCCGUGCCAGCAGCCGCGGUAAUACGGAGGAUGCGAGCGUUAUCCGGAUUUAUUGGGUUUAAAGGGUGCGCAGGCGGUCUGUUAAGUCAGCGGUCAAAGCCCGAGGCUCAACCCCGGCCCGCCGUUGAAACUGGCG